AUGCACGCUGGCGGCGUGCCUAAUACCUGCAAGUCGAGCGAACAGAUGAGGAGCUUGCUCCUCUGACGUUAGCGGCGGACGGGUGAGUAACACGUGGAUAACCUACCUAUAAGACUGGGAUAACUUCGGGAAACCGGAGCUAAUACCGGAUAAUAUAUUGAACCGCAUGGUUCAAUAGUGAAAGACGGUUUUGCUGUCACUUAUUGAUGGAUCCGCGCCGCAUUAGCUAGUUGGUAAGGUAACGGCUUACCAAGGCAACGAUGCGUAGCCGACCUGAGAGGGUGAUCGGCCACACUGGAACUGAGACACGGUCCAGACUCCUACGGGAGGCAGCAGUAGGGAAUCUUCCGCAAUGGGCGAAAGCUUGACGGAGCAACGCCGCGUGAGUGAUGAAGGUCUUCGGAUCGUAAAACUCUGUUAUUAGGGAAGAACAAAUGUGUAAGUAACUAUGCACGUCUUGACGGUACCUAAUCAGAAAGCCACGGCUAACUACGUG
This 496-nucleotide ribosomal RNA is filed under the name uncultured bacterium. RNAcentral's name for it is "partial 16S ribosomal RNA". It matches the Rfam family "Bacterial small subunit ribosomal RNA", at positions 29 to 507 of the family's 1533-position model. The record is from RNAcentral.